This 261-nucleotide ribosomal RNA is filed under the name uncultured archaeon. RNAcentral's name for it is "partial 16S ribosomal RNA". It matches the Rfam family "Archaeal small subunit ribosomal RNA", at positions 748 to 1009 of the family's 1478-position model. The record is from RNAcentral.
CAGCCGUAAACUAUGCUCGCUAGGUGUCAGGGACGGUGCGACCGUUUCUGGUGCCGCAGGGAAGCCGUGAAGCGAGCCACCUGGGAAGUACGGUCGCAAGGCUGAAACUUAAAGGAAUUGGCGGGGGAGCACUACAACGGGUGGAGCUUGCGGUUUAAUUGGAUUCAACGCCGGAAAUCUUACCGGGACCGACAGCAACAUGAAGGCCAGGCUGAAGACUUUGCCGGAUUAGCUGAGAGGAGGUGCAUGGCGUAGUCGUGU